AUUGAACGCUGGCGGCAUGCCUUACACAUGCAAGUCGAACGGCAGCACGGGAGCAAUCCUGGUGGCGAGUGGCGAACGGGCGAGUAAUAUAUCGGAACGUGCCCGGUCGUGGGGAUAACGUAGCGAAAGCUACGCUAAUACCGCAUACGAUCUACGGAUGAAAGCGGGGGAUCGCAAGACCUCGCGCGAUUGGAGCGGCCGAUAUCAGAUUAGGUAGUUGGUGAGGUAAAGGCUCACCAAGCCGACGAUCUGUAGCUGGUCUGAGAGGACGACCAGCCACACUGGGACUGAGACACGGCCCAGACUCCUACGGGAGGCAGCAGUGGGGAAUUUUGGACAAUGGGCGCAAGCCUGAUCCAGCAAUGCCGCGUGCAGGAUGAA
RNAcentral lists this ribosomal RNA (381 nucleotides) under uncultured bacterium. RNAcentral's name for it is "bacterial SSU rRNA". It matches the Rfam family "Bacterial small subunit ribosomal RNA", at positions 29 to 412 of the family's 1533-position model. The record is from RNAcentral.